RNAcentral lists this ribosomal RNA (1243 nucleotides) under metagenome. Its description in RNAcentral is "bacterial LSU rRNA". It matches the Rfam family "Bacterial large subunit ribosomal RNA", at positions 1564 to 2816 of the family's 2925-position model. The record is from RNAcentral.
UGAAUACGAGAUGCUACGGCGUCGAAGCAGUGUAUGUCAGACUUCCAAGAAAAGCUCGCAAGGUCAUAAAUAAAGAAUGCCUGUACCAUAACCGACACAGGUGGGUAGGUAGAGUAUACUAAGGGGCGCGAGAUAACUCUCUCUAAGGAACUCGGCAAAAUAACUCCGUAACUUCGGGAGAAGGAGUGCCUUCUAUUAGAAGGUUGCAAUAACAAGAUCCAAGCAACUGUUUAUCAAAAACACAGGUCUCCGCUAAGUCGUAAGACGAUGUAUGGGGGCUGACGCCUGCCCAGUGCCAGAAGGUUAAAGAAGUUGGUUAGCUUUGGCGAAGCUGAUGACUGAAGCCCUGGUGAACGGCGGCCGUAACGAUAACGGUCCUAAGGUAGCGAAAUUCCUUGUCGGGUAAGUUCCGACCCGCACGAAAGGCGUAAUGAUUUGGAUACUGUCUCGGAGAGGGACUCGGUGAAAUAGACUUGUCUGUGAAGAUGCGGACUACCUGCACCAGGACAGAAAGACCCUAUGAAGCUUUACUGUAACUUGAAAUUGAAAUUGGACUUUAUUUGCGCAGCAUAGGUGGAAGGCGUUGAGAGUGCUCUUGCGGGAGUACUGGAGCCAUCAGUGAGAUACCACUCCUAUAAUGUUAGAUUUCUAACUUUGGAUCAUAAUCUGGUCAAAGAACAGUUUCAGGCGGGCAGUUUGACUGGGGCGGUCGCCUCCCAAAUGGUAACGGAGGCGUACAAAGGUUUCCUCUGAACGGGUAGAAAUCGUAUCUAGAGUGUAAAGGCAUAAGGAAGCUUGACUGUGAGACCUACAAGUCGAGCAGGGACGAAAGUCGGUCUUAGUGAUCUGACGGUGCUGAGUGGAAAGGCCGUCACUCAACGGAUAAAAGUUACUCUAGGAUAACAGGCUGAUCUCCCCCAAGAGUUCACAUCGACGGGGAGGUUUGGCACCUCGAUGUCGGCUCAUCGCAUCCUGGGGCGGUAGUACGUCCCAAGGGUUGGGCUGUUCGCCCAUGAAAGCGGUACGCGAGCUGGGUUCAGAACGUCGUGAGACAGUUCGGUCCAUAUCCGGUGUAGGCGUUAGAAUAUUGAGAGGAGCCUUCUUUAGUACGAGAGGACCGAGAAGGACAUACCUCUGGUGUACCAGUUAUCGUUCCAACGGUAAACGCUGGGUAGCUAUGUAUGGAGAGGAUAACCGCUGAAAGCAUCUAAGUGGGAAGCCCACCUCAAGAUGAGUAUUCUCU